GACGGAGGGAGCAAGCGUUGUUCGGAAUAACUGGGCGGAAAGCGCGGGCAGGCGGGCGGUUAAGUCGUUUGUGAAAACCCGGGGCUCAACCCCGGGAAUGCGUACGAUACUGGCAGGCUGGAGACCGGUAGAGGCUAGCGGAAUUCCUGGUGUAGCGGUGGAAUGCGUGGAUAUCAGGAAGAACUCCUGAGGCGAAGGUGACUUGCUGGGCCGGGUCUGACGCUUAUCCGCGAAAGCGUGGGGAGCAUACAGG
This 253-nucleotide ribosomal RNA is filed under the name uncultured bacterium. RNAcentral's name for it is "partial 16S ribosomal RNA". It matches the Rfam family "Bacterial small subunit ribosomal RNA", at positions 524 to 776 of the family's 1533-position model. The record is from RNAcentral.